AACCCCUCACCUAAAAUUAAACCCCUCAUCAUCGCGUUUCACUCUCCUCUACCUCACUUCGCGUCUCAGCCUCUCUCUCAGAUCGCGAUUCCUUGACUCCAUGGCUUGAACCUCUCUCAGCGAUGGCGAACUCCAUGGCUUGAACCUCUCUCAGCGAUGGCGAACUCCAUGGCUUGAAGGUAAGCACUUCGUCCUGGGUUUGGUUUCUUAGAUUUCUUCCACUUCGAUUUGAUGGUUUGGUUUCUUCGAUUUCUCACGAUUUCAGGUUUGUGAUUUGGAUCUGUUUGUUUUGGUUAGG
This 298-nucleotide long non-coding RNA is filed under the name Lotus japonicus. RNAcentral describes it as "long non-coding RNA (LJAP_LNC001722)". Lineage: Eukaryota; Viridiplantae; Streptophyta; Magnoliopsida; Fabales; Fabaceae. The record is from RNAcentral.